UACGUAGGGGGCGAGCGUUGUCCGGAUUCAUUGGGCGUAAAGCGCUUUAAGGCGGUUCGGUAAGUCGGGUGUGAAACCUCCAGGCUCAACCUGGAGACGCCACUCGAUACUGCUGUGACUAGAGUUCGGUAGGGGAUCACGGAAUUCCUGGUGUAGCGGUGAAAUGCGCAGAUAUCAGGAGGAACACCGGUGGCGAAGGCGGUGAUCUGGGCCGACACUGACGCUGUAGAGCGAAAGCGUGGGGAACGAACAGG
RNAcentral lists this ribosomal RNA (254 nucleotides) under uncultured bacterium. RNAcentral describes it as "partial 16S ribosomal RNA". It matches the Rfam family "Bacterial small subunit ribosomal RNA", at positions 524 to 776 of the family's 1533-position model. The record is from RNAcentral.